UACGUAGGGGGCAAGCGUUAUCCGGAUUUACUGGGUGUAAAGGGAGCGUAGACGGCAGUGCAAGUCUGAAGUGAAAGGCAAGGGCUCAACCCUUGGACUGCUUUGGAAACUGUGCUGCUGGAGUGUCGGAGAGGCAAGUGGAAUUCCUAGUGUAGCGGUGAAAUGCGUAGAUAUUAGGAGGAACACCAGUGGCGAAGGCGGCUUGCUGGACGAUGACUGACGUUGAGGGUCGAAAGCGUGGGGAGCGAACAGG
RNAcentral lists this ribosomal RNA (253 nucleotides) under uncultured bacterium. RNAcentral describes it as "partial 16S ribosomal RNA". It matches the Rfam family "Bacterial small subunit ribosomal RNA", at positions 524 to 776 of the family's 1533-position model. The record is from RNAcentral.